Molecule: ribosomal RNA, 486 nt
Filed under: uncultured bacterium
Lineage: Bacteria
Description: partial 16S ribosomal RNA
Rfam family: Bacterial small subunit ribosomal RNA
Source: RNAcentral
AUUGAACGCUGGCGGCAUGCCUUACACAUGCAAGUCGAACGGCAGCACGGGUGCUUGCACCUGGUGGCGAGUGGCGAACGGGUGCGUAAUACAUCGGCACCUGUCCUGUAGUGGGGGAUAGCCCUGCGAAAGCCGGAUUAAUACCGCAUACGAUCCCCGGAUGAAAGCGGGGGCCCUUCGGCCCCCGCCCUUUCGGGUUGGCCGAUGGCUGAUUAGCUAGUUGGUGGGGUAAGGGCCUACCACGGCGACGAUCAGUAGCGGGUCGGAGAGGACGACCAGCAAGACGGGAAGGGGGACACGGCCAAGACUACGAGGGGGGGAAGAGGGGGGGAAUAUUGGAAAGUGGGCGAAAGCGGGAUCCAGAAAGGCCGGGGGGGGGAAGAAGGCCUUCGGGUUGAAAAGCAGUUUUGUCGGGAAAGAAAAGCAGGAGGUUAAUACGGCGGGGGGAUGAGGGUACCAAAAGAAUAAGCACGGGCUAACUUCGUG